UGCUGGUUGCUUCGCAAUUGUAAUCUACAAACCCCGCCAGGACCGGAAGGUAGCAACGGUAGUAGACCUAUGAUGUGCCGGAGUCUUGCUGGUAGGG
Acinetobacter sp. is the source of this 97-nucleotide non-coding RNA. Lineage: Bacteria; Pseudomonadati; Pseudomonadota; Gammaproteobacteria; Moraxellales; Moraxellaceae. The record is from Rfam.